This 72-nucleotide transfer RNA is filed under the name Bos taurus (domestic cattle). It matches the Rfam family "tRNA". Rfam says of the family: Transfer RNA (tRNA) molecules are approximately 80 nucleotides in length. Their secondary structure includes four short double-helical elements and three loops (D, anti-codon, and T loops). Further hydrogen bonds mediate the characteristic L-shaped molecular structure. tRNAs have two regions of fundamental functional importance: the anti-codon, which is responsible for specific mRNA codon recognition, and the 3' end, to which the tRNAs corresponding amino acid is attached (by aminoacyl-tRNA synthetases). tRNAs cope with the degeneracy of the genetic code in two manners: having more than one tRNA (with a specific anti-codon) for a particular amino acid; and 'wobble' base-pairing, i.e. permitting non-standard base-pairing at the 3rd anti-codon position. RNAcentral also lists the same sequence under 4 other names. Lineage: Eukaryota; Metazoa; Chordata; Mammalia; Artiodactyla; Bovidae. The record is from Rfam by way of RNAcentral.
UCCCUGGUGGCUUAGACGGUAAAGCGUCUGCCUGCAAUGCAGGAGACUCGAGUUUGAUCCCUGGGUUGGGAA